UACAGAGGUCUCAAGCGUUGUUCGGAUUCAUUGGGCGUAAAGGGUGCGUAGGCGGUCGGGUAAGUCGGAUGUGAAAUCUUGGGGCUCAACCUCAAAACUGCAUUCGAUACUGCUUGGCUGGAGGACUGGAGAGGAGAGUGGAAUUCACGGUGUAGCAGUGAAAUGCGUAGAUAUCGUGAGGAAGACCAGCGGCGAAGGCGGCUCUCUGGACAGUUCCUGACGCUGAGGCACGAAGGCCAGGGGAGCAAACGGG
This 253-nucleotide ribosomal RNA is filed under the name uncultured bacterium. Its description in RNAcentral is "partial 16S ribosomal RNA". It matches the Rfam family "Bacterial small subunit ribosomal RNA", at positions 524 to 776 of the family's 1533-position model. The record is from RNAcentral.